This 253-nucleotide ribosomal RNA is filed under the name uncultured prokaryote. Its description in RNAcentral is "partial 16S ribosomal RNA". It matches the Rfam family "Bacterial small subunit ribosomal RNA", at positions 524 to 776 of the family's 1533-position model. The record is from RNAcentral.
UACGAAGGGUGCAAACGUUGCUCGGAAUUAUUGGGCGUAAAGCGCACGUAGGCGGCAUCGCAAGUCGGAUGUGAAAUCUUAUGGCUUAACCAUAAAAGUGCGUCCGAAACUGCAGUGCUUGAGUACUUAAGAGGAUCGCGGAAUUCCCGGUGUAGAGGUGAAAUUCGUAGAUAUCGGGAGGAACACCAGUGGCGAAGGCGGCGAUCUGGGAAGAUACUGACGCUGAGGUGCGAAAGCGUGGGGAGCAAACAGG